UCUUUUUUGUCUAAAAUUGUAGGCAUCUCUCCUUGAUCUGCUAGCUGCCUGCCCCCUGAAUACACUGUGAAAAAGUUAGGUCUCGGGGGACAACACAGGGGUUGUAACCGUCAAACAAACCCUAG
Molecule: long non-coding RNA, 125 nt
Organism: Etheostoma cragini (Arkansas darter)
Lineage: Eukaryota; Metazoa; Chordata; Actinopteri; Perciformes; Percidae
Exons: 3
Source: RefSeq, a predicted model, not a curated record